CCUACGGGAUGCAGCAGUGGGGAAUAUUGCACAAUGGGCGCAAGCCUGAUGCAGCCAUGCCGCGUGUAUGAAGAAGGCCUUAGGGUUGUAAAGUACUUUCAGUUGGGAGGAAGGCGUUGAUGCUAAUAUCAUCAACGAUUGACGUUACCAACAGAAGAAGCACCGGCUAACUCCGUGCCAGCAGCCGCGGUAAUACGGAGGGUGCAAGCGUUAAUCGGAAUUACUGGGCGUAAAGCGCACGCAGGCGGUUGAUUAAGUUAGAUGUGAAAUCCCCGGGCUUAACCUGGGAAUGGCAUCUAAGACUGGUCAGCUAGAGUCUUGUAGAGGGGGGUAGAAUUCCAUGUGUAGCGGUGAAAUGCGUAGAUAUUAGGAGGAACACCAGUGGCGAAGGCGGCCUGCUGGACAUUAACUGACGCUGAGGAGCGAAAGCGUGGGGAGCAAACAGGAUUAGAUACCCGGGUAGUC
This 465-nucleotide ribosomal RNA is filed under the name uncultured bacterium. Its description in RNAcentral is "bacterial SSU rRNA". It matches the Rfam family "Bacterial small subunit ribosomal RNA", at positions 338 to 795 of the family's 1533-position model. The record is from RNAcentral.